Molecule: ribosomal RNA, 269 nt
Filed under: uncultured prokaryote
Description: partial 16S ribosomal RNA
Rfam family: Archaeal small subunit ribosomal RNA
Source: RNAcentral
UACCUGCAGCUCAAGUGGUGGCCGCUAUUAUUGGGCCUAAAACGUCCGUAGCCUGUUUAGUAAAUGCUUGGGUAAAUUGUGUAGCUUAACUAUACGAAUACCGGGUAGACUGCUAAACUUGGGACCGGGAGAGGCUAGAGGUACUCCUGGGGUAGAGGUGAAAUUCUGUAAUCCUAGGGGGACCACCAGUGGCGAAGGCGUCUAGCUAGAACGGGUCUGACGGUGAGGGACGAAGCCCUGGGGCGCAAACCGGAUUAGAUACCCUUGUA